Molecule: ribosomal RNA, 253 nt
Filed under: uncultured bacterium
Lineage: Bacteria
Description: partial 16S ribosomal RNA
Rfam family: Bacterial small subunit ribosomal RNA
Source: RNAcentral
UACGGGGGGGGCGAGCGUUGUUCGGAAUUACUGGGCGUAAAGGGUUUGUAGGUGGCCUGCUAAGUCAGACGUGAAAUCCCUCAGCUUAACUGGGGAACUGCGUCUGAUACUGGAUGGCUUGAGUUUGGGAGAGGGAUGCGGAAUUCCAGGUGUAGCGGUGAAAUGCGUAGAUAUCUGGAGGAACACCGGUGGCGAAGGCGGCAUCCUGGACCAACACUGACACUGAGGAGCGAAAGCCAGGGGAGCAAACGGG